Molecule: ribosomal RNA, 3100 nt
Filed under: archaeon
Lineage: Archaea
Description: 23S ribosomal RNA
Rfam family: Archaeal large subunit ribosomal RNA
Source: RNAcentral
AAAAAUUACAAAUUUUUUAUACUGUUAGAUGGAUAGCUUGGUUUUGGUUCUGAUGAAGGACGUGGCAAGCUGCGAUAAGCUUGGGCGAGCUGCAUGCAAGCGUUGAACCCAAGAUCUCCGAAUCAUUCCGAGAGGAAAAGAAACGCCGGGAAUUGAAACAUCUUAGUACCGGCAGGAAAAGAAAACAAAUAGUGAUGCCCUAAUUAGCAGAGAGCGAAAUGGGCAGAGGGCAAACUGAAUCUGCUGUCGAAAGAUGGUUAGAGAUGUGGUGAGCUAAAUUCCUAAGUUAAUGAAUCAAAUUCUCCUGGAAAGGAGAGCCUUAGAAGGUGAUAGCCCUGUAGAUUAAGAUAAUAUGGAGUUGCUCGACAGAGUAGGGCUUCCCGGAUUGGAAGUCUGAAUAUGGCACGAUUAAGUGCUAACCCUAAAUAAAACCAAAGUCCGAUAGCGCAAUAGUACCGCGAGGGAAAGCUGAAAAGUACUCUUAAUAGAGAGUUAAAAGACUUGAAAUCUAUCAGUUACAGUUGGUUAGUGCUCUCUCACAAUUUUUGUGAUGUAGAGUUCUAACGUACGUUUUGAAGAACGGGCCAGGGAGUUUUUUUGUGUGGCGAGGCUAAUCUUUUUUAAAGAGUAACCGAAGCGAAAGCAAGUGUGAAAGCGCGUUAGUCACAUGGAUCAGACCCGAAGCCAGAUGAUCUAUUCAUGGACAGGAUGAAGUCUCUCGAAAGGGGGAUGGAGGUCCGAACCGGUGUUGUGUACAUGCACUUGGAUGAUCUGUGAAUAGGGGUGAAAUGCCUAUCUAAUUUGGCGAUGGCUGGUUCCUGUUGAAAUAUGCCUUCGUAUAGUCUUAUCUAGCUGGUUUACGGGGUAAAGUACGGAUGGAAUUCGCAGGAUCUAUUGAUUACGGAAUUCUUUCCAACUCAGAACCUGUAAAUUGCUUAAAAUAAGAAACAGGGUGUGUAUGUAAGAUACACUUCCGAGACCGGAACAACGGAGACCAAAGUUAAGGUCCCUAAAAUUAUGCUAAGUGUAACGAAAGGUGUUUUGAACCUGAGACAGUAGGGAUGUAAGCUCAGAAGCAGCUAUCAUUUAAAGAAAGCGUAACAGCUCACCUAUCGAGGUUCGAAGCCCUGAAAAUGGACGGGGCUCAAGCAUAAUACCGAUACUUUGGAGAUGCUCGGUUUGAGCAUUCUGGUAAACAGGCGUCUUUUCUGCGUAGAAGAUUUUUCUAAAGAAAGGUUGGAGCAGGAAGGAACGAGAAUCCUGGUAAUAGUAAGAUGUAAUUUUCUUGAGAAUAGAAAAUGUCGAAAGGGCAAGGUUUCCUUGGCAAUAUACGUUAGCCAAGGGUUAGUCAGCACCUAAGUUGUAUCUUAACUGAAUACGACGAUGGAAUACAGGUUAAUAUUCCUGUACUGAUUAAAUUCGUUCAGUGCACAUUAAGCUUUCGGACAAGCAAGAUUCUGAAAGGAAUUUCGGCAAAGAUAUUUGUUGAGCGUAAUGCUAAGAUGCAAAUGAAUUUGUCGACGAGAAUUGCUGAUUCCGAGAGUCAGUGAAAAUUUUGUGUAUAGAGUUUAAUUAGCUGUACCCUACAACCGACGCUGGUGCCCAAGCUGAGAAAGCUAAGACAUGUAAGGUUCAAACUGGUUAAGGGAAUUCGGCAUAUUGGCCCCGUAGCUUCGGCUGAAGGGGUGUCUAUAAUUGUCUUUUUCAGAAAUGUGAAGGCAUUUGUAGAUCUCAGUAACAAGGAUGGCCCGACUGUUUACCAAAAACGUAGCUAAGUGCUAAUCCGAAAGGACUUGUAUACUUGGUGAGACCUGCCCAGUGAUGGUGUCAAAAACUCUCUUUCAAGGGAGCUAACGCCCAUCAAACGGCGGGGGUAACUAUGACCCUCUUAAGGUAACAUUAUGAUUGCCUUAGUAAAAUCUGACUAAAUGCUGGAAAAUCCGAGAAUAUUUGAAUACUCGUCGAUAAAUUAAAAAUUAUCGUCAGUGAAAAUUUUAAAUUGCGGACAAUCAGCAGGAAAGAUUAGAAUUAAUUCUAAAAUCCUCAGAGACUAUACGUCAGAAUUCAUUUAAUGAAUAAGAUAUAGUCCGAACUGAAUGGCGACAUUCAGAAAAUAUUAGAAAUAAUAUUUCGUCAAGAAAUUGACAGUAACAUAAUUGAGCGUAAUGCCUUGUCGUCUGAAUGGCGACGUGCAUGAAUGGUUUAACGAGGUUAUCACUGUCCCUAGCCAGGACCUUCUGAAAAUAUUGUCCGGUGAAGAGACCGGAGACGCCUAGUGGGAAGCGAAGACCUUGUAGAACUUUACUGCAACUUGCCGUUGUAAUUUUAAGUUGAGUGCAUAGAAUAAGUAGGAGCAUCGAAGCCAACUUUUUGGAGUUGGUGGAGCAAAAGUGUAAUACUACUCAUUUUUCUUAAAAUUGCUUACUCUUUUAGAGGACACCGGCAGGCAGGCAGUUUGACUGGGGCGGUGCCCUGUCGAAAAAGUAUCGAUAGGACCCAAAGACAAACUCAUCCAGCUUGGAAAUCUGGAGUUGAGUGCGAGGGCAAAAGUUUGUCUGACUGUUUUUCGAUCAGCAAGAAAAACAGAGGCGAAAGCCGGGCCUAGUGAACCCACAUGCUUUUUUAAUAGAAGCUGUGUCUGAUAGAAAAGUUACCUCAAGGAUAACAGGCUUGUCGCCCCCGAUAGUCCACAUUGACGGGGCGGUUUGGUACAUCGCUGUCGGCUCUUCCUAUCCUGCGCGUGCAGAAGCGUGCAAGGGUGUCGGAGUUCACGCAUUAAAAGGGAUCGUUAGCUGGGUUAAGAACGUCGCGAGACAGUUUGUAUGAUAUCUACUAGGCGUGUAGUUGUCUGAGUGGAACGAGUUUAUAGUACGAGAGGAACUAGACUCGGAUGCCUCUGGUGAGCAGUUGUUAUGAGCAGGCUGCGUAGCUACGCAUUAUUGGAUAAGAGCUGAAUGCAUCUAAGCUCGAAACCAUCCGCGAAACGAGACAACAAAGGCCGUCGUAAAAGACGACGUUGAUAGAGUUGAAGUGUAAGAUUCGAGCUCGCAAGGGCGAGAAUUUCAGCUUACAACUACUAAAAGCCUCAAUUGUAAUUUUG